ACUGAUAAAGAAACACUCACUUUCCAGUUGCAAUCUCUUAUAAUGGUAGGGAUUGUGAGUUCAGUUAUAAGAGAAGGAUAAGAAUUGGUCUUUUCCAAUUUCGCAAUUUGCUUUUGGAGGGAUGUUCUAUCACUUGCAAAAGACAAAUCUCUUGGUAAUUUCUUCAAUUGUGGGUUCUAUAGAAGGGUCUGAAACUUCUUUACCUUUCGACGAUUGAGUUUUGGAAUAGGAACCUUUGAUGCCAGAGCUAGAAGAAGGGGAGUAGAACCAGUUAAACCUCCACCUGUAGAUCUCAUACUUCAAAUUCUUCAUCCUUUUCCUCUUGAAUGUUUGAUCGGAGCAGGUGCAUUAGGAAAUUUAUCGAGAAGUAAAACCUUUCUGGGGUUUGGGUUUGGAGAUGCCAUUGUUAGACAAUCUUGAAGUAAG
This 426-nucleotide long non-coding RNA is filed under the name Nicotiana benthamiana. RNAcentral's name for it is "long non-coding RNA (NBEN_LNC039781)". The record is from RNAcentral. Lineage: Eukaryota; Viridiplantae; Streptophyta; Magnoliopsida; Solanales; Solanaceae.